RNAcentral lists this long non-coding RNA (222 nucleotides) under Elaeis guineensis (African oil palm). RNAcentral's name for it is "long non-coding RNA (EGUI_LNC021796)". The record is from RNAcentral. Lineage: Eukaryota; Viridiplantae; Streptophyta; Magnoliopsida; Arecales; Arecaceae.
AGGUAAUUUAAUUGAAUGGUAAUCUCAUUCUGCUUUCUUAAAUACAAACGAUUAUGGAGAAUGGCGGUCAAUGACUCAUCCGAUAAGGUCACACUUGGGAGACGGUACAGGGCCUAUGAAGAUACACCAUGUGGGCACACUCUAUUUUGCGAAGCAUCGCAAGAAUUUAUUCCCACUCCAAAGAAAGCAUGUCAUUAACUGCUUAGCCAUUAACUCUUGGGA